AUUGAACGCUGGCGGCAGGCCUAACACAUGCAAGUCGAGCGGAAACGAGUUAUCUGAACCUUCGGGGAACGAUAACGGCGUCGAGCGGCGGACGGGUGAGUAAUGCCUAGGAAAUUGCCCUGAUGUGGGGGAUAACCAUUGGAAACGAUGGCUAAUACCGCAUGAUGCCUACGGGCCAAAGAGGGGGACCUUCGGGCCUCUCGCGUCAGGAUAUGCCUAGGUGGGAUUAGCUAGUUGGUGAGGUAAGGGCUCACCAAGGCGACGAUCCCUAGCUGGUCUGAGAGGAUGAUCAGCCACACUGGAACUGAGACACGGUCCAGACUCCUACGGGAGGCAGCAGUGGGGAAUAUUGCACAAUGGGCGCAAGCCUGAUGCAGCCAUGCCGCGUGUGUGAAGAAGGCCUUCGGGUUGUAAAGCACUUUCAGUCGUGAGGAAGGUAGUGUAGUUAAUAGCUGCAUUAUUUGACGUUAGCGACAGAAGAAGCACCGGCUAACUCCGUGCCAGCAGCCGCGGUAAUACGGAGGGUGCGAGCGUUAAUCGGAAUUACUGGGCGUAAAGCGCAUGCAGGUGGUUUGUUAAGUCAGAUGUGAAAGCCCGGGGCUCAACCUCGGAAUUGCAUUUGAAACUGGCAGACUAGAGUACUGUAGAGGGGGGUAGAAUUUCAGGUGUAGCGGUGAAAUGCGUAGAGAUCUGAAGGAAUACCGGUGGCGAAGGCGGCCCCCUGGACAGAUACUGACACUCAGAUGCGAAAGCGUGGGGAGCAAACAGGAUUAGAUACCCUGGUAGUCCACGCCGUAAACGAUGUCUACUUGGAGGUUGUGGCCUUGAGCCGUGGCUUUCGGAGCUAACGCGUUAAGUAGACCGCCUGGGGAGUACGGUCGCAAGAUUAAAACUCAAAUGAAUUGACGGGGGCCCGCACAAGCGGUGGAGCAUGUGGUUUAAUUCGAUGCAACGCGAAGAACCUUACCUACUCUUGACAUCCAGAGAACUUUCCAGAGAUGGAUUGGUGCCUUCGGGAACUCUGAGACAGGUGCUGCAUGGCUGUCGUCAGCUCGUGUUGUGAAAUGUUGGGUUAAGUCCCGCAACGAGCGCAACCCUUAUCCUUGUUUGCCAGCGAGUAAUGUCGGGAACUCCAGGGAGACUGCCGGUGAUAAACCGGAGGAAGGUGGGGACGACGUCAAGUCAUCAUGGCCCUUACGAGUAGGGCUACACACGUGCUACAAUGGCGCAUACAGAGGGCAGCCAACUUGCGAAAGUGAGCGAAUCCCAAAAAGUGCGUCGUAGUCCGGAUUGGAGUCUGCAACUCGACUCCAUGAAGUCGGAAUCGCUAGUAAUCGUGGAUCAGAAUGCCACGGUGAAUACGUUCCCGGGCCUUGUACACACCGCCCGUCACACCAUGGGAGUGGGCUGC
This 1411-nucleotide ribosomal RNA is filed under the name Vibrio parahaemolyticus. RNAcentral describes it as "bacterial SSU rRNA". It matches the Rfam family "Bacterial small subunit ribosomal RNA". Lineage: Bacteria; Pseudomonadati; Pseudomonadota; Gammaproteobacteria; Vibrionales; Vibrionaceae. The record is from RNAcentral.